UGGGGAAUAUUGCACAAUGGGCGCAAGCCUGAUGCAGCCAUGCCGCGUGUAUGAAGAAGGCCUUCGGGUUGUAAAGUACUUUCAGCGGGGAGGAAGGGAGUAAAGUUAAUACCUUUGCUCAUUGACGUUACCCGCAGAAGAAGCACCGGCUAACCCCGUGCCAGCAGCCGCGGUAAUACGGAGGGUGCAAGCGUUAAUCGGAAUUACUGGGCGUAAAGCGCACGCAGGCGGUUUGUUAAGUCAGAUGUGAAAGCCUCGGGCUCAACCUGGGAACUGCAUAUGAUACUGGCAAGCUUGAGUAUCGUAGAGGGGGGGAGAAUUCCAGGGGUGGCGGUGAAAUGCGUAGAGAUCUGGAGGAAUACCGGUGGCGAAGGCGGCCCCCUGGACGAAGACUGACGCUCAGGUGCGAAAGCGUGGGGAGCAAACAGG
Molecule: ribosomal RNA, 429 nt
Filed under: Chloroflexota bacterium
Lineage: Bacteria; Bacillati; Chloroflexota
Description: Chloroflexi bacterium partial 16S ribosomal RNA
Rfam family: Bacterial small subunit ribosomal RNA
Source: RNAcentral